AAAAUGCGAAACGUAGUGCGAUUUGCAUGAACCUGUGAGUCACUAAAUCUUUGAACGCAACUUGCGCCCCCCGGGGCAUGUUCCUUUGAGUCGGACACUAGUCUUUGUGUUGGACUAUAGCGUGUGCAUUUACUUGUGCGCGCUUCGUCCUAAAUGUGUGAGCAAGCGGGACAGCAACGUCCUCUGAGCCAGAGUUGUGCCCUUGUGGUGCUGCUUUCAGAGGCCCGCGCCGUUCCGGUCUGAUUGAAUAGAGUCUACACUCUAGUCGGUCGUCUGCACUCCGCUCAAAUGGAACAGGACUACCCGCUGGACUUAA
RNAcentral lists this unclassified non-coding RNA (316 nucleotides) under uncultured fungus. RNAcentral's name for it is "sequence contains ITS1". The stretch from base 1 to 95 matches the Rfam family "5.8S ribosomal RNA", at positions 50 to 154 of the family's 154-position model. The record is from RNAcentral. Lineage: Eukaryota; Fungi.